Molecule: ribosomal RNA, 432 nt
Filed under: Vibrio sp.
Lineage: Bacteria; Pseudomonadati; Pseudomonadota; Gammaproteobacteria; Vibrionales; Vibrionaceae
Description: bacterial SSU rRNA
Rfam family: Bacterial small subunit ribosomal RNA
Source: RNAcentral
CGGCAGGCCUAACCAUGCAAGUCGAGCGGAAACGACACUAUCUGUCCUUCGGAUGCGUUAAUGGGCGUCGAGCGGCGGACGGGUGAGUAAUGCCUAGGAAAUUGCCUUGAUGUGGGGGAUAACCAUUGGAAACGAUGGCUAAUACCGCAUAAUGCCUACGGGCCAAAGAGGGGGACCUUCGGGCCUCUCGCGUCAAGAUAUGCCUAGGUGGGAUUAGCUAGUUGGUGAGGUAAUGGCUCACCAAGGCGACGAUCCCUAGCUGGUCUGAGAGGAUGAUCAGCCACACUGGAACUGAGACACGGUCCAGACUCCUACGGGAGGCAGCAGUGGGGAAUAUUGCACAAUGGGCGAAAGCCUGAUGCAGCCAUGCCGCGUGUAUGAAGAAGGCCUUCGGGUUGUAAAGUACUUUCAGUUGUGAGGAAGGGUGUGUAG